GCGGCCGCUGCAUAAGACCUGCUCCCUCUUCAUGCGCAACAUCGCGCCCAACAUCUCCCGGGCCGAGAUCAUCUCCCUUUGUAAAAGGUACCCAGGCUUUAUGCGGGUGGCGCUCUCAGAGCCCCAGCCAGAGAGGAGGUGAGUAACUCGGUUUUUCCGUCGUGGCUGGGUGACCUUCGACCGCAGUGUUAACAUUAAAGAGAUCUGUUGGAACCUGCAGAACAUCCGUCUCCGGGAGUGUGAGCUGAGCCCUGGUGUGAACAGGGACCUGACCCGGCGCGUUCGCAACAUCAACGGCAUCACCCAGCACAAGCAGAUUGUGCGCAACGACAUCAAGCUGGCGGCCAAGCUGAUCCACACGCUGGAUGACAGGACACAGCUUUGGGCCUCAGAACCAGGGACGCCUCCCCUGCCCACGAGCCUGCCCUCGCAAAACCCGAUCUUGAAGAAUAUCACCGACUACCUGAUCGAGGAAGUAAGCGCCGAGGAGGAGGAGCUGCUGGGGAGCAGCGGGGGCGCUCCUCCUGAGGAGCCUCCUAAGGAAGGGAACCCGGCAGAGAUCAACGUGGAGCGGGAUGAGAAGUUGAUUAAGGUCUUGGACAAGCUCCUCCUUUACCUGCGCAUCGUGCAUUCCUUGGAUUAUUACAACACCUGUGAGUACCCCAACGAGGACGAGAUGCCCAAUCGCUGUGGGAUCAUCCACGUUCGGGGGCCCAUGCCACCCAACCGCAUCAGUCACGGGGAAG
RNAcentral lists this long non-coding RNA (746 nucleotides) under Homo sapiens (human). RNAcentral's name for it is "HSALNT0126473". Lineage: Eukaryota; Metazoa; Chordata; Mammalia; Primates; Hominidae. The record is from RNAcentral.